RNAcentral lists this ribosomal RNA (146 nucleotides) under uncultured bacterium. Its description in RNAcentral is "partial 16S ribosomal RNA". It matches the Rfam family "Bacterial small subunit ribosomal RNA", at positions 346 to 509 of the family's 1533-position model. The record is from RNAcentral.
AGGCAGCAGUGAGGGAUAUUGGUCAAUGGGGGAAACCCUGAACCAGCAACGCCGCGUGAGGGAAGACGGUUUUCGGAUUGUAAACCUCUGUCCUCUGUGAAGAUAAUGACGGUAGCAGAGGAGGAAGCUCCGGCUAACUACGUGCC